RNAcentral lists this ribosomal RNA (483 nucleotides) under uncultured bacterium. Its description in RNAcentral is "partial 16S ribosomal RNA". It matches the Rfam family "Bacterial small subunit ribosomal RNA", at positions 30 to 507 of the family's 1533-position model. The record is from RNAcentral.
UUGAACGCUGGCGGCAGGCCUAACCCCUGCAAGUCGAGCGGAUGAAGGGAGCUUGCUCCUGGAUUCAGCGGCGGACGGGUGAGUAAUGCCUAGGAAUCUGCCUGGUAGUGGGGGAUAACGUCCGGAAACGGGCGCUAAUACCGCAUACGUCCUGAGGGAGAAAGUGGGGGAUCUUCGGACCUCACGCUAUCAGAUGAGCCUAGGUCGGAUUAGCUAGUUGGUGGGGUAAAGGCCUACCAAGGCGACGAUCCGUAACUGGUCUGAGAGGAUGAUCAGUCACACUGGAACUGAGACACGGUCCAGACUCCUACGGGAGGCAGCGGUGGGGAAUAUUGGACAAUGGGCGAAAGCCUGAUCCAGCCAUGCCGCGUGUGUGAAGAAGGUCUUCGGAUUGUAAAGCACUUUAAGUUGGGAGGAAGGGCAGUAAGUUAAUACCUUGCUGUUUUGACGUUACCAACAGAAUAAGCACCGGCUAACUUCGUG